UACGUAGGGUGCAAGCGUUAAUCGGAAUUACUGGGCGUAAAGCGUGCGCAGGCGGUCUUGCAAGACAGAUGUGAAAUCCCCGGGCUUAACCUGGGAACUGCAUUUGUGACUGCAAGGCUGGAGUACGGUAGAGGGGGAUGGAAUUCCGCGUGUAGCAGUGAAAUGCGUAGAUAUAGGAAGGAACACCAGUGGCGAAGGCGACCACCUGGACUGAUACUGACACUGAGGUGCGAAAGCGUGGGGAGCAAACAGG
RNAcentral lists this ribosomal RNA (253 nucleotides) under uncultured prokaryote. RNAcentral's name for it is "partial 16S ribosomal RNA". It matches the Rfam family "Bacterial small subunit ribosomal RNA", at positions 524 to 776 of the family's 1533-position model. The record is from RNAcentral.